AUGGCUCGUCUCCUCCUCGUCGUCCUAGCGCUUCACCUCACCGCUGCCAGAGCCUUCGCCGCGUCAAGCGUCGGCGGCCGUAACGGCGACUUCGACCCCUCCCGCGUCGUCCAGCUCUCGUGGCACCCCAGAGCGUUCCUGCACAAGGGGUUCCUCUCGGACGCGGAGUGCGACCACAUGAUCGAGCUGGCGAAGGACAAGCUUGAGAAGUCGAUGGUGGCGGACAAUGAGUCGGGAAAGAGCGUCCAGAGCGAAGUGCGGACCAGCUCCGGCAUGUUUCUUGAGAAGAGGCAGGAUGAAGUAGUAGCAAGGAUAGAGGAGAGGAUUGCUGCUUGGACUUUCCUUCCGUCGGAGAAUGGCGAGUCCAUUCAAAUAUUACACUAUAAGAAUGGUGAGAAGUAUGAGCCACACUAUGAUUACUUCCAUGACAAAAAUAACCAAGCUCUCGGUGGUCACCGAAUAGCAACAGUGCUCAUGUAUCUGUCUAACAUUGAGAAGGGUGGAGAGACCAUCUUCCCUAACGCAGAGGGGAAGUUAACACAACACAAGGAUGAGACGGCAUCUGAGUGUGCUAAAAAUGGAUAUGCAGUAAAGCCCGUAAAAGGUAACGCCCUGCUGUUCUUCAGCCUCCACCCUGAUGCAACGACAGACCCUGACAGUUUGCACGGGAGCUGCCCCGUCAUCGAAGGCCAGAAGUGGUCCGCCACGAAAUGGAUCCAUGUGAGGUCCUUCGAAAACUCGGGCAAGCAGGGAGGUGGGUGCGAGGACGAGAAUGUCCUCUGCUCGCAGUGGGCUGCCGUUGGGGAGUGCGCCAAGAACCCCAACUAUAUGGUGGGCACCAAGGAAGCUCCUGGCUUCUGCAGGAAGAGCUGCAACGUCUGCGCGCAGUAA
Molecule: ribosomal RNA, 891 nt
Filed under: Triticum aestivum (bread wheat)
Lineage: Eukaryota; Viridiplantae; Streptophyta; Magnoliopsida; Poales; Poaceae
Description: partial small subunit ribosomal RNA
Source: RNAcentral